CCUACGGGAGGCAGCAGUAGGGAAUUUUCGUCAAUGGGCGCAAGCCUGAACGAGCAAUGCCGCGUGAACGAGGAAGGUCUUCGGAUCGUAAAGUUCUGUUGAAGGGGAAAAAGAACGGAGAGAGGAAAUGAACUCCGCUUGAUAUUACCCUUCGAGGAAGUCACGGCUAACUACGUGCCAGCCGCCGCGGUACUACGUGGGUGGCGAGCGUUAUCCGGAAUGAUUGGGCGUAAAGGGUGCGUAGUCGGCCUGCUAAGUCUGGGGUGAAAGGUACCGGCUCAACCGGUAGAGGCUCUGGAAACUGGCGGGCUAGAGAGCAGGAGAGGGCAGUGGAACUCCAUGUGUAGCGGUAAAAUGCGUAGAUAUAUGGAAGAACACCAGUGGCGAAGGCGGCCGCCUGGCCUGUUACUGACGCUGAGGCACGAAAGCGUGGGGAGCAAAUAGGAUUAGAUACCCCUGUAGUC
This 464-nucleotide ribosomal RNA is filed under the name uncultured bacterium. RNAcentral describes it as "partial 16S ribosomal RNA". It matches the Rfam family "Bacterial small subunit ribosomal RNA", at positions 338 to 795 of the family's 1533-position model. The record is from RNAcentral.